Molecule: long non-coding RNA, 252 nt
Filed under: Brassica napus (rape)
Lineage: Eukaryota; Viridiplantae; Streptophyta; Magnoliopsida; Brassicales; Brassicaceae
Description: long non-coding RNA (BNAP_LNC019450)
Source: RNAcentral
AAAAGUUUUGCUUGUUAUAAACCAAGGUCUAGUGGAAGCCCAUAUUCGGAGGCCCAUAUUCUUAUGUCUUUGUAUUUUCUAGCCAAUAUUGUAUUAGGGUUUCAUACUUAUGUAAUUCCCUAUAUAAAGGGCUCCUUAUUGUCUAAUAAAGAUAUAGACUUUCCCCUUAUUUUCAUAACACGUUAUCAUCACGAUAGCCUCUAUCCCUAAGCCCCCACGAAAUAUUCUUCAACUCAGCCGAAAAUCAUCAAA